UAGUUGUUGUUUGGUGGUAAUGUUGUAGUUGUUGUUGUUGUUGUAUGUGAUGCUUUCUACUGUCUUCUUCUUUAUCUGGGUUGCUGAUGAUAGAAGAUAAAGAAUCUGAGUUGCCACGAACAAGUUGAUCUACUGUGGGCUUCUGGUCCUCCCCAAUACGAUGCUGAGAAAUCUGGUUGUUGUUGUUGUUGUUGUUGUGGAGCCCUGUAAGUACCCCAUCUGAUGAGGACCCAACAUUGUCUGGUUGUUCCUCUUUGGUUUCUUCCAAGUAAAUCUCCUCCACCAUGGGUUUCCAUAGCCUCACCCUUGCAUUGAUGAACCAAUUUGAAACCUGAAGUGGCAAAUGGAAACAUAUAUUAUAAUUAGUUUUGUUAAAGCCUAAGAAGAUAGGAAGAUAUGCCCUAUGGAACAGAUGAGAGAACCUAGUCCCACAGGAAUCAAAU
Long non-coding RNA from Telopea speciosissima, 443 nucleotides. RefSeq lists it as uncharacterized. The transcript is spliced from 4 exons. Lineage: Eukaryota; Viridiplantae; Streptophyta; Magnoliopsida; Proteales; Proteaceae. The record is from RefSeq and is a predicted model, not a curated record.